AGGUUUACGUAAGAGUUCAAAGAGGCCAUUUAAAUCAACAUUUUACUUUUUAAUUUUACAGUCCUGCCUUCUUGUCUCUGUCGCUGAGAAAGCCAAAGAAAAUUUCUUAUUAUUUGCUAUCUCUGCCUCUUGCAAUGGAAUGCAUAACAGUUGGCUUUUUGAUCAUGACCUACUAGCAAUUUAUGAACACCUAAAGACUAACAACAGGUAGAUUCCUAAUCGCUGCUCCAUUUAUUGAAAAAUAGAUCUUUCCCCGAAGAUCUGAAAUUCCAGCUCUGCGAUAAAGCACGUUCCACUGACUAUGGGUAGAUGUGGUCAGCAACUUGAUUGGGAUCCGCUCAUGGAUUGCUUUAUGGUUCAGAAGUUCUGGAAAUGGAUGCAGAGGAAAUGUCAGACCACAGGUACAAAUAAAAAAUAAAAGCAACAUCUAUUAAGGACAAACAAAUAAAAUAAAUUGAAAAAUGUUACCACUGCAAUUUGCAGCGCCUAUAAAAGUAAACUAUUGAAUCUGUCUCUAAGAUGGAAGCUACCAAAGGCUGAUCUUUUAUAGGAAUGAGCAGGAGACAUUUUUUAUGGAUGUCAUUGUGACUUAUACUUGCAUCCAUUUUUACCUGAGAAUAAUGUUGAGAGAAAGAAAUUAUGUAUGAGACUAGAAACAUUUAAAUUUCUGGUAGAGGUUUCUAUAAAGCAGAUUUCAUAAAGUAUAA
Molecule: non-coding RNA, 707 nt
Organism: Delphinapterus leucas (beluga whale)
Lineage: Eukaryota; Metazoa; Chordata; Mammalia; Artiodactyla; Monodontidae
Source: RefSeq, a predicted model, not a curated record